CUCGGGCUGAUUUCCAUUCGACAGGAUAUCCAACAGAUCGCUGGACGAAACGAAGUAGAAUCUCGGGAACGCCAAACGUUUCGUCUCCAAGUAUUCGGCCAACGCUUUCUCGCAGAGGACCAAUUCCUUUUGGAGGAUGUCCAGGGAGGACGCGAGGCCAUCUUUGUUCGUCGCUUCAACUACGUUCAACGUUCUCGCUAGUUCCUCCGUCAUUUGCUUGAAUUCCUUGUCGAUCUUGUCGAAUCUCUCGGCAUCCGUUGGCAGUUGCCUACGUAUAUCCUCGGACGAGGUGAAGAUGCUCUCCAGAUGCGUCCAAGUUCGUUGCACUUCGAGCCAGAUAGUGGUCACUUGAUCGGCGAUGCUCAACUUCCGCUGCCAACUGGACACCUCUUCCAGAAAAUGGGCGAUGAACUUCGAGAGUUUCGAUCAAUUCCUCGCUGGCUCUUAUCAAGGUGGCGCCGGUUCGAGCAUGAAUCUCCUUCUCGAAUUCCAUUUUCGACCAGAUGACGUUCAAUUCCUUCAUAUAUCUCUCCAUUGACAUCUCCUUCACGGCUUUGUCCACGAUGUUCUUCACUUCCUCCUCGCAGUCGUGCAGAUUCAGCUCGAGAAGAUCGGCCAAUGUGGUAGACUCGUCCAUGACGAAUUUUACCUUAAGCACACUCUUCGUUGACUAUACGUUUCUUUUAUCGUUGAAAACUCGAAGCGUUGAGUGAACGAGUUUGAAGAAAAAAAAAAAAAGAAAAAAAGAACGAAGAAUGAAUAAGCGAAGAAUUAAACAUUUUUCGAAUUACAAGAUCGAAUUUAUUGACGAAUGGAGGUAUAAAUACAGUGAGUGAUACGAUGAAACGUACAAUGAGAAUAUAUUAUACAAAAUUAUUAUUGGACAAUGUAUGUAUGACGCAUGCAUUGCAUAUUAAUUGAUGAUUUAUCGGUUCUAAUUCGUGCUCGAAUAUUAUAGAAUUAGGUGCACGUUAUUUACAGUGGACUUACGGUCAUUUCUGGAGUCAUGUUGCCCAAUUUCUGUAACACCGAUAGCGUAUAUACAGCGGUGCAACUAACUAACUAAUAUCUCGGUGAUCAUUUCCAUUGAAAAAUCUUAAUCGUUUUGACUAAUUAAAAAUUCUUUCAAUUUUAUUUAAAUAAAAUUAAUAAAAAUAUUCUCGCAAAAACGUGUAACGAUUUUCAUG
Molecule: long non-coding RNA, 1187 nt
Organism: Apis florea (little honeybee)
Lineage: Eukaryota; Metazoa; Arthropoda; Insecta; Hymenoptera; Apidae
Source: RefSeq, a predicted model, not a curated record